RNAcentral lists this long non-coding RNA (199 nucleotides) under Felis catus (domestic cat). RNAcentral describes it as "lncRNA (ENSFCAG00000044903.2)". The record is from RNAcentral. Lineage: Eukaryota; Metazoa; Chordata; Mammalia; Carnivora; Felidae.
AUGGUGAGGAAGGUACAGUGGUGCCAAUGGAGCCCUAGGAAGGAGAUGCAACAAGAAAUGAUGGUCCAGGAGAUGCCGGAGGAGGGUGUCUCCGGGAAUUCUCCAGAGGUUGCCUUAAAUGCGUCAGGCAUUAGCCCCGGUCCUCACUGGCCUAAGUUAGCCUGCCCAGGCCUCCUGAGCCGUUGGUGAGAGCAUUGCC